This 97-nucleotide ribosomal RNA is filed under the name Ligilactobacillus salivarius. RNAcentral's name for it is "Lactobacillus salivarius partial 16S ribosomal RNA". It matches the Rfam family "Bacterial small subunit ribosomal RNA", at positions 1361 to 1456 of the family's 1533-position model. Lineage: Bacteria; Bacillati; Bacillota; Bacilli; Lactobacillales; Lactobacillaceae. The record is from RNAcentral.
GGUGAAUACGUUCCCGGGCCUUGUACACACCGCCCGUCACACCCAUGAGAGUUUGUAACACCCAAAGCCGGUGGGGUAACCGCAAGGAGCCAGCCGU